This 253-nucleotide ribosomal RNA is filed under the name uncultured bacterium. RNAcentral's name for it is "partial 16S ribosomal RNA". It matches the Rfam family "Bacterial small subunit ribosomal RNA", at positions 524 to 776 of the family's 1533-position model. The record is from RNAcentral.
UACGUAGGGUGCAAGCGUUGUCCGGAAUUAUUGGGCGUAAAGAGCUUGUAGGCGGUUUGUCGCGUCUGCUGUGAAAUUUCGGGGCUCAACCCCGAACUUGCGGUGGGUACGGGCAGGCUAGAGUGUGGUAGUGGAGACUGGAAUUCCUGGUGUAGCGGUGAAAUGCGCAGAUAUCAGGAGGAACACCGAUGGCGAAGGCAGGUCUCUGGGCCACUACUGACGCUGAGAAGCGAAAGCAUGGGGAGCGAACAGG